GAUGAACGCUGGCGGCGUGCCUAAUACAUGCAAGUCGAGCGAACGGACGAGAAGCUUGCUUCUCUGAUGUUAGCGGCGGACGGGUGAGUAACACGUGGAUAACCUACCUAUAAGACUGGGAUAACUUCGGGAAACCGGAGCUAAUACCGGAUAAUAUUUUGAACCGCAUGGUUCAAAAGUGAAAGACGGUCUUGCUGUCACUUAUAGAUGGAUCCGCGCUGCAUUAGCUAGUUGGUAAGGUAAUGGCUUACCAAGGCAACGAUGCAUAGCCGACCUGAGAGGGUGAUCGGCCACACUGGAACUGAGACACGGUCCAGACUCCUACGGGAGGCAGCAGUAGGGAAUCUUCCGCAAUGGGCAAAAGCCUGACGGAGCAACGCCGCGUGAGUGAUGAAGGUCUUCGGAUCGUAAAACUCUGUUAUUAGGGAAGAACAUAUGUGUAAGUAACUGUGCACAUCUUGACGGUACCUAAUCAGAAAGCCACGGCUAACUACGUG
This 497-nucleotide ribosomal RNA is filed under the name uncultured bacterium. RNAcentral describes it as "partial 16S ribosomal RNA". It matches the Rfam family "Bacterial small subunit ribosomal RNA", at positions 28 to 507 of the family's 1533-position model. The record is from RNAcentral.